UACGGAGGGGACUAGCGUUGUUCGGAAUUACUGGGCGUAAAGCGCACGUAGGCGGAUUUGUAAGUCAGGGGUGAAAUCCCGGGGCUCAACCUCGGAACUGCCUUUGAUACUGCAAGUCUCGAGUCCGAUAGAGGUGGGUGGAAUUCCUAGUGUAGAGGUGAAAUUCGUAGAUAUUAGGAAGAACACCGGUGGCGAAGGCGGCCCACUGGAUCGGUACUGACGCUGAGGUGCGAAAGCGUGGGGAGCAAACAGG
This 253-nucleotide ribosomal RNA is filed under the name uncultured bacterium. RNAcentral describes it as "partial 16S ribosomal RNA". It matches the Rfam family "Bacterial small subunit ribosomal RNA", at positions 524 to 776 of the family's 1533-position model. The record is from RNAcentral.